UUCUGUAAGGGGCAACUCCCGCCGAAAGUCGAGAGGCGCAAAGUCACCGGUCUACCGAGCUUCGGCUUCAGGACAGCGGGACUGCCGGA
RNAcentral lists this non-coding RNA (89 nucleotides) under Candidatus Muproteobacteria. RNAcentral describes it as "c-di-GMP sequence". It matches the Rfam family "c-di-GMP-I riboswitch aptamer". Rfam says of the family: GEMM was predicted in a large-scale screen for bacterial structured RNA regulatory elements. Genes associated with GEMM are involved in a diverse array of functions, including chemotaxis regulation, signal transduction, secretion and chitin. Lineage: Bacteria; Pseudomonadati; Pseudomonadota. The record is from RNAcentral.